AUAACACCAAAAAGUGGUUUUUGGUGCUAAAAUAAUAUCACAUCUUCAAUGGUUGGUGCUAUAUCUUGUGUCAAAUUCAUAUAUGUGCAUUCAUGUACUUGAAUAGGUUGAGAUAUAAAUCCAUUUUUUAUUCAUUUCCCUUCAUUUUUCUACUUUUUGAUGAGGUGGCAAUUAUAGCUAUUGCUAUAGUUUGUGCUAAAUAUAGCACCAACUAUAGCAAUAUGCUAUUUUAGCACCAAGUUUAGCACACCAUUGGAGUUGAAAUUUUUUGAUUUUGAGCUAUAAUAUAAAUAUAGCACAAGAUAUAGCUCACCAUU
RNAcentral lists this long non-coding RNA (317 nucleotides) under Daucus carota (carrot). RNAcentral's name for it is "long non-coding RNA (DCAR_LNC003865)". The record is from RNAcentral. Lineage: Eukaryota; Viridiplantae; Streptophyta; Magnoliopsida; Apiales; Apiaceae.